This 200-nucleotide ribosomal RNA is filed under the name uncultured bacterium. RNAcentral's name for it is "partial 16S ribosomal RNA". It matches the Rfam family "Bacterial small subunit ribosomal RNA", at positions 29 to 256 of the family's 1533-position model. The record is from RNAcentral.
AGCGAACGCUGGCGGCAGGCCUAACACAUGCAAGUCGAACGAACUCUUCGGAGUUAGUGGCGGACGGGUGAGUAACACGUGGGAACGUGCCUUUUGGUUCGGAAUAACUCAGGGAAACUUGUGCUAAUACCGAAUGUGCCCUUCGGGGGAAAGAUUUAUCGCCAUUAGAGCGGCCCGCGUCUGAUUAGCUAGCUGGUGAG